CGGACGGGUGAGUAACACGUGGAUAACCUACCUAUAAGACUGGGAUAACUUCGGGAAACCGGAGCUAAUACCGGAUAAUAUAUUGAACCGCAUGGUUCAAUAGUGAAAGACGGUUUUGCUGUCACCUAUAGAUGGAUCCGCGCCGCAUUAGCUAGUUGGUAAGGUAACGGCUUACCAAGGCAACGAUGCGUAGCCGACCUGAGAGGGUGAUCGGCCACACUGGAACUGAGACACGGUCCAGACUCCUACGGGAGGCAGCAGCU
This 263-nucleotide ribosomal RNA is filed under the name uncultured Staphylococcus sp. RNAcentral's name for it is "partial 16S ribosomal RNA". It matches the Rfam family "Bacterial small subunit ribosomal RNA", at positions 99 to 355 of the family's 1533-position model. The record is from RNAcentral. Lineage: Bacteria; Bacillati; Bacillota; Bacilli; Caryophanales; Staphylococcaceae.